Molecule: ribosomal RNA, 496 nt
Filed under: uncultured bacterium
Lineage: Bacteria
Description: partial 16S ribosomal RNA
Rfam family: Bacterial small subunit ribosomal RNA
Source: RNAcentral
GAUGAACGCUGGCGGCGUGCCUAAUACAUGCAAGUCGAGCGAACAGAUAAGGAGCUUGCUCCUUUGACGUUAGCGGCGGACGGGUGAGUAACACGUGGGUAACCUACCUAUAAGACUGGGAUAACUUCGGGAAACCGGAGCUAAUACCGGAUAAUAUUUCGAACCGCAUGGUUCGAUAGUGAAAGAUGGUUUGCUUUUCCCUAUUGAAGGACCCGCGCCGUAUUAGCUAGUUGGUAAGGUAACGGCUUACCAAGGCGACGAUACGUAGCCGACCUGAGAGGGUGAUCGGCCACACUGGAACUGAGACACGGUCCAGACUCCUACGGGAGGCAGCAGUAGGGAAUCUUCCGCAAUGGGCGAAAGCCUGACGGAGCAACGCCGCGUGAGUGAUGAAGGUCUUCGGAUCGUAAAACUCUGUUAUUAGGGAAGAACAUACGUGUAAGUAACUGUGCACGUCUUGACGGUACCUAAUCAGAAAGCCACGGCUAACUACGUG